This 666-nucleotide ribosomal RNA is filed under the name uncultured bacterium. RNAcentral describes it as "bacterial SSU rRNA". It matches the Rfam family "Bacterial small subunit ribosomal RNA", at positions 824 to 1500 of the family's 1533-position model. The record is from RNAcentral.
UGGCGAUAUACGGUCAGCGGCCAAGCGAAAGCGUUAAGCAUCCCACNUGGGGAGUACGCCGGCAANCGGUGAAACUCAAAGGAAUUGANCGGGGGCCCGCACAAGCGGAGGAACAUGUGGUUUAAUUCGAUGAUACGCGAGGAACCUUACCCGGGCUUGAACUGCAGCGGAAGGAUGCGGAGACGCUGACGCCCCUCGGGGCCGCUGUGGAGGUGCUGCAUGGUUGUCGUCAGCUCGUGCCGUGAGGUGUCGGCUUAAGUGCCAUAACGAGCGCAACCCCUCUCCUCAGUUGCCAUCAGGUAGGGCUGGGCACUCUGGGGACACUGCCGCCGUAAGGUGUGAGGAAGGUGGGGAUGACGUCAAAUCAGCACGGCCCUUACGUCCGGGGCUACACACGUGUUACAAUGGGUGGUACAGAGAGCCGGGUGCCCGCAAGGUCUCCCUAAUCCUAAAAGCCAUCCUCAGUUCGGAUUGGGGUCUGCAACCCGACCCCAUGAAGCUGGAUUCGCUAGUAAUCGCGCAUCAGCCAUGGCGCGGUGAAUACGUUCCCGGGCCUUGUACACACCGCCCGUCAAGCCAUGAAAGCCGGGGGCGCCUGAAGUCCGUGACCGCGAGGGUCGGCCUAGGGUGAAACCGGUGAUUGGGGCUAAGUCGUAACAAGGUACC